This 570-nucleotide ribosomal RNA is filed under the name uncultured bacterium. RNAcentral describes it as "bacterial SSU rRNA". It matches the Rfam family "Bacterial small subunit ribosomal RNA", at positions 338 to 916 of the family's 1533-position model. The record is from RNAcentral.
CCUACGGGAGGCAGCAGUGGGGAAUAUUGCACAAUGGGCGAAAGCCUGAUGCAGCAACGCCGCGCGAGGGACGACGGCCUUCGGGUUGUAAACCUCUUUUAGCAGGGAAGAAGCGAAAGUGACGGUACCUGCAGAAAAAGCACCGGCUAACUACGUGCCAGCAGCCGCGGUAAUACGUAGGGUGCAAGCGUUGUCCGGAAUUAUUGGGCGUAAAGAGCUCGUAGGCGGUUUGUCGCGUCUGCUGUGAAAACCCCGAGGCUCAACCUCGGGCCUGCAGUGGGUACGGGCAGACUAGAGUGCGGUAGGGGAGAUUGGAAUUCCUGGUGUAGCGGUGGAAUGCGCAGAUAUCAGGAGGAACACCGAUGGCGAAGGCAGAUCUCUGGGCCGUAACUGACGCUGAGGAGCGAAAGGGUGGGGAGCAAACAGGCUUAGAUACCCUGGUAGUCCACCCCGUAAACGUUGGGAACUAGAUGUGGGGACCAUUCCACGGUCUCCGUGUCGCAGCUAACGCAUUAAGUUCCCCGCCUGGGGAGUACGGCCGCAAGGCUAAAACUCAAAGGGAAUUGACGG